GAUGAAGAACGCAGCGAAAUGCGAUAAGUAAUGCGAAUUGCAGAAUUUCCGUGAGUCAUCGAAUCUUUGAACGCAUAUUGCGCCCUCUGGUAUUCCGGAGGGCAUGCCUGUCCGAGCGUCAUUGCAAACCCUCAAGCACGGCUUGUGUGAUGGGCUCUAGCGUCUGCUUCCCCGGCAGACGAGCCUGAAAGAUAGCGGCAGCGCGGUGCGAUCAGCCACAGUGUAUGGGAACUUCACACGCUGGCGGCGCGUACCCACGCUCGUCUCUCUAUUCUCUCGUGGUUUGACCUCGGAUCAGGUAGGGAUACCCGCUGAACUUAAGCAUAUCAAUAAGCGGAGGA
RNAcentral lists this unclassified non-coding RNA (341 nucleotides) under soil metagenome. Its description in RNAcentral is "partial contains 5.8S ribosomal RNA, internal transcribed spacer 2, and large subunit ribosomal RNA". The stretch from base 1 to 121 matches the Rfam family "5.8S ribosomal RNA", at positions 35 to 154 of the family's 154-position model. The record is from RNAcentral.